CACUAUCGUUAACUGAAUACAUAGGUUAACGAGGCGAACCGGGGGAACUGAAACAUCUAAGUACCCCGAGGAAAAGAAAUCAACCGAGAUUCCCCCAGUAGCGGCGAGCGAACGGGGAGCAGCCCAGAGUCUGAAUCAGCUUGUGUGUUAGUGGAACGGUCUGGAAAGUCCGACGGUACAGGGUGAUAGUCCCGUACACCAAAAUGCACAGGCUGUGAACUCGAAGAGUAGGGCGGGACACGUGGUAUCCUGUCUGAAUAUGGGGGGACCAUCCUCCAAGGCUAAAUACUCCUGACUGACCGAUAGUGAACCAGUACCGUGAGGGAAAGGCGAAAAGAACCCCGGCGAGGGGAGUGAAAAAGAACCUGAAACCGUGUACGUACAAGCAGUGGGAGCACCUUCGGGUGUGACUGCGUACCUUUUGUAUAAUGGGUCAGCGACUUAUAUUCUGUAGCAAGGUUAACCGUAUAGGGGAGCCGCAGGGAAACCGAGUCUUAACUGGGCGUUAAGUUGCAGGGUAUAGACCCGAAACCCGGUGAUCUAGCCAUGGGCAGGUUGAAGGUUGGGUAACACUAACUGGAGGACCGAACCGACUAAUGUUGAAAAAUUAGCGGAUGACUUGUGGCUGGGGGUGAAAGGCCAAUCAAACCGGGAGAUAGCUGGUUCUCCCCGAAAGCUAUUUAGGUAGCGCCUCGUGAACUCAUCUUCGGGGGUAGAGCACUGUUUCGGCUAGGGGGUCAUCCCGACUUACCAACCCGAUGCAAACUACGAAUACCGAAGAAUGUUAUCACGGGAGACACACGGCGGGUGCUAACGUCCGUCGUGAAGAGGGAAACAACCCAGACCGCCAGCUAAGGUCCCAAAGUCAUGGUUAAGUGGGAAACGAUGUGGGAAGGCACAGACAGCCAGGAUGUUGGCUUAGAAGCAGCCAUCAUUUAAAGAAAGCGUAAUAGCUCACUGGUCGAGUCGGCCUGCGCGGAAGAUGUAACGGGGCUAAACCAUGCACCGAAGCUGCGGCAGCGACACUAUGUGUUGUUGGGUAGGGGAGCGUUCUGUAAGCCUGCGAAGGUGACCUGUGAGGGUUGCUGGAGGUAUCAGAAGUGCGAAUGCUGACAUAAGUAACGAUAAAGCGGGUGAAAAGCCCGCUCGCCGGAAGACCAAGGGUUCCUGUCCAACGUUAAUCGGGGCAGGGUGAGUCGACCCCUAAGGCGAGGCCGAAAGGCGUAGUCGAUGGGAAACAGGUUAAUAUUCCUGUACUUGGUGUUACUGCGAAGGGGGGACGGAGAAGGCUAUGUUAGCCGGGCGACGGUUGUCCCGGUUUAAGCAUGUAGGCUGGUUGUCCAGGCAAAUCCGGAUAAUCAAGGCUGAGGUGUGAUGACGAGGCACUACGGUGCUGAAGUAACAAAUGCCCUGCUUCCAGGAAAAGCCUCUAAGCAUCAGGUAACAUCAAAUCGUACCCCAAACCGACACAGGUGGUCAGGUAGAGAAUACCAAGGCGCUUGAGAGAACUCGGGUGAAGGAACUAGGCAAAAUGGUGCCGUAACUUCGGGAGAAGGCACGCUGGUGUGUAGGUGAAGUCCCUGCGGAUGGAGCUGAGACCAGUCGAAGAUACCAGCUGGCUGCAACUGUUUAUUAAAAACACAGCACUGUGCAAACACGAAAGUGGACGUAUACGGUGUGACGCCUGCCCGGUGCCGGAAGGUUAAUUGAUGGGGUUAUCCGUAAGGAGAAGCUCUUGAUCGAAGCCCCGGUAAACGGCGGCCGUAACUAUAACGGUCCUAAGGUAGCGAAAUUCCUUGUCGGGUAAGUUCCGACCUGCACGAAUGGCGUAAUGAUGGCCAGGCUGUCUCCACCCGAGACUCAGUGAAAUUGAACUCGCUGUGAAGAUGCAGUGUACCCGCGGCAAGACGGAAAGACCCCGUGAACCUUUACUAUAGCUUGACACUGAACAUUGAGCCUUGAUGUGUAGGAUAGGUGGGAGGCUUUGAAGCGUGGACGCCAGUCUGCGUGGAGCCAACCUUGAAAUACCACCCUUUAAUGUUUGAUGUUCUAACGUUGGCCCCUGACCGGGGUUGCGGACAGUGUCUGGUGGGUAGUUUGACUGGGGCGGUCUCCUCCCAAAGCGUAACGGAGGAGCACGAAGGUUAGCUAAUCCUGGUCGGACAUCAGGAGGUUAGUGCAAUGGCAUAAGCUAGCUUGACUGCGAGCGUGACGGCGCGAGCAGGUGCGAAAGCAGGUCAUAGUGAUCCGGUGGUUCUGAAUGGAAGGGCCAUCGCUCAACGGAUAAAAGGUACUCCGGGGAUAACAGGCUGAUACCGCCCAAGAGUUCAUAUCGACGGCGGUGUUUGGCACCUCGAUGUCGGCUCAUCACAUCCUGGGGCUGAAGUAGGUCCCAAGGGUAUGGCUGUUCGCCAUUUAAAGUGGUACGCGAGCUGGGUUUAGAACGUCGUGAGACAGUUCGGUCCCUAUCUGCCGUGGGCGCUGGAGAAUUGAGGGGGGCUGCUCCUAGUACGAGAGGACCGGAGUGGACGCAUCACUGGUGUUCGGGUUGUCAUGCCAAUGGCACUGCCCGGUAGCUAAAUGCGGAAGAGAUAAGUGCUGAAAGCAUCUAAGCACGAAACUUGCCCCGAGAUGAGUUCUCCCUGAGACUUUAAGUCUCCUGAAGGAACGUUGAAGACGACGACGUUGAUAGGCCGGGUGUGUAAGCGCAGCGAUGCGUUGAGCUAACCGGUACUAAUGAACCGUGAGGCUUAACCUU
Molecule: ribosomal RNA, 2758 nt
Filed under: Klebsiella pneumoniae
Lineage: Bacteria; Pseudomonadati; Pseudomonadota; Gammaproteobacteria; Enterobacterales; Enterobacteriaceae
Description: partial 23S ribosomal RNA
Rfam family: Bacterial large subunit ribosomal RNA
Source: RNAcentral